GAUCAUGGCUCAGGAUGAACGCUGGCGGCGUAGCUUAACACAUGCAAGUCGAACGGAGUUUUAACGGAAGUUUCGGAUGGAAGUUAGAAACUAGUGGCGGACGGGUGAGUAACGCGUGGGUAACCUGCCUCAUACAGGGGGAUAACAGUUAGAAAUGACUGCUAACACCGCAUAAUAUAGCGAAACCGCAUGAUUUUGCUAUCAAAUAUUUAUAGGUAUGAGAUGGGCCCGCGUCUGGAUUAGCUAGUUGGUGGGGUAAAGCCUACCAAGGCGACGAUCAGUAGCCGGCUUGAGAGAGUGACCGGCCACAUUGGGACUGAGACACGGCCCAAACUCCUACGGGAGGCAGCAGUGGGGAAUAUUGGACAAUGGGGGAAACCCUGAUCCAGCGAACCGCCGCGUGAGUGAAGAAGUAUUUCGGUAUGUAAAGCUCUAUCAGCAGGGAAGAUAAUGACAGUACCUGACUAAGAAGCCCCGGCUAACUACGUGCCAGCAGCCGC
This 500-nucleotide ribosomal RNA is filed under the name uncultured bacterium. RNAcentral describes it as "bacterial SSU rRNA". It matches the Rfam family "Bacterial small subunit ribosomal RNA", at positions 15 to 518 of the family's 1533-position model. The record is from RNAcentral.